Molecule: transfer RNA, 76 nt
Filed under: Lactobacillus gasseri 202-4
Lineage: Bacteria; Bacillati; Bacillota; Bacilli; Lactobacillales; Lactobacillaceae
Description: tRNA-Trp
Rfam family: tRNA
About the family: Transfer RNA (tRNA) molecules are approximately 80 nucleotides in length.
Source: RNAcentral
UAGGGAUAUCGUAUAAAGGUAGUACAUCGGUCUCCAAAACCGCUAGUGUGGGUUCAAUUCCUACUAUCCCUGUUUU